This 397-nucleotide ribosomal RNA is filed under the name uncultured bacterium. RNAcentral's name for it is "partial 16S ribosomal RNA". It matches the Rfam family "Bacterial small subunit ribosomal RNA", at positions 523 to 918 of the family's 1533-position model. The record is from RNAcentral.
AUACGUAGGGGGCAAGCGUUAUCCGGAUUUACUGGGUGUAAAGGGAGCGUAGACGGCUAAAUAAGUCAGAUGUGAAAGCCCAGGGCUCAACCCUGGGACUGCAUUUGAAACUAUGUAGCUAGAGUGCAGGAGAGGUAAGUGGAAUUCCUAGUGUAGCGGUGAAAUGCGUAGAUAUUAGGAGGAACACCAGUGGCGAAGGCGGCUUACUGGACUGUAACUGACGUUGAGGCUCGAAAGCGUGGGGAGCAAACAGGAUUAGAUACCCUGGUAGUCCACGCUGUAAGCGAUGAAUACUAGGUGUCGGGGACCUUCCGGUCUUCGGUGCCGACGCUAACGCAUUAAGUAUUCCACCUGGGGAGUACGUUCGCAAGAAUGAAACUCAAAUGAAUUGACGGGG